GACUCUCGGCAACGGAUAUCUCGGCUCUCGUAUCGAUGAAGAACGUAGCGAAAUGUGAUACUUGGUGUGAAUUGAAGAAUCCCAUGAACCAUCGAGUCUUUGAACGCAAGUUGCACCCCAAGCCUUCUGGCCGAGGGCACGUAUGCCUGGGUGUCA
RNAcentral lists this ribosomal RNA (156 nucleotides) under Brassica napus (rape). Its description in RNAcentral is "rRNA 5_8S_rRNA". It matches the Rfam family "5.8S ribosomal RNA". Rfam says of the family: 5.8S ribosomal RNA (5.8S rRNA) is a component of the large subunit of the eukaryotic ribosome. It is transcribed by RNA polymerase I as part of the 45S precursor that also contains 18S and 28S rRNA. Lineage: Eukaryota; Viridiplantae; Streptophyta; Magnoliopsida; Brassicales; Brassicaceae. The record is from Rfam by way of RNAcentral.